ACUGGGCAAGUUGGUCCGCGUACUUCUUGCCAUUGUCAGGUUAUAAGGAGUGUGAGCCUGUGGUCAGCUGGAACAAGCCAAAUAGAGGAGAGUAUUCACUGUGCUUAUUGCUCUCUCAUUGAGAAAGCGGAGCACUUUAUAUACAUUGAGAAUCAAUUUUUUAUAUCAGGUCUUUCAGGAGAUGAAACUAUACAGAAUCGCGUGUUAGAAUCAUUAUACCGUCGUAUUAUGCGAGCAUACAAUGAGAAGAAGUGUUUCAGGGUUAUUGUGGUCAUACCUCUGAUUCCUGGUUUCCAGGGGGGUUUGGAUGACAGUGGUGCUGCAUCUUUGAGAGCCAUAAUGCAUUGGCAAUAUCGAACCAUUUGCAGAGGACAAAAUUCAAACCCCCCUG
This 391-nucleotide unclassified non-coding RNA is filed under the name Hevea brasiliensis (rubber tree). Lineage: Eukaryota; Viridiplantae; Streptophyta; Magnoliopsida; Malpighiales; Euphorbiaceae. The record is from RNAcentral.